AUACGUAGGUGGCAAGCGUUGUCCGGAAUUAUUGGGCGUAAAGCGCGCGCAGGCGGUCCUUUAAGUCUGAUGUGAAAGCCCCCGGCUUAACCGUGGAGGGCCAUUGGAAACUGGGGGACUUGAGUGUCGAAGAGGAAAGUGGAAUUCCAAGUGUAGGGGUGAAAUGCGUAGAGAUUUGGAGGAACACCAGUGGCGAAGGCGACUUUCUGGUCUGAAACUGACGCUGAGGCGCGAAAGCGUGGGGAGCAAACAGGAUUAGAUACCCUGGUAGUCCACGCCGUAAACGAUGAGUGCUAAGUGUUAGGGGGGUUCCGCCCCUUAGUGCUGCAGCUAACGCAUUAAGCCCUCCGCCUGGGGAGUACGGUCGCAAGACUGAAACUCAAAUGAAUUGACGGGG
RNAcentral lists this ribosomal RNA (397 nucleotides) under uncultured bacterium. RNAcentral's name for it is "partial 16S ribosomal RNA". It matches the Rfam family "Bacterial small subunit ribosomal RNA", at positions 523 to 918 of the family's 1533-position model. The record is from RNAcentral.